CCUACGGGAGGCUGCAGUAGGGAAUAUUGCUCAAUGGGGGAAACCCUGAAGCAGCAACGCCGCGUGGAGGAUGAAGGUUUUCGGAUGUUAACCUCCUUUGGUUAGAAAGAUUAAUGACGGUUUCAACCGAAUAAGAACCGGCUAACCCGGUGCCAGCAGCCCGGGUAAUACGGAGGGUGCAAGCUUUACUCGGAAUCACUGGGCGUAAAGAGCGCGUAGGGGGGAUAGCAAGUCAGAUGUGAAAUCCUAUGGCUUAACCAUAGAACUGCAUUUGAAACUGUUAUUCUAGAGUAUGGGAGAGGUAGGUGGAAUUCUUGGUGUAGGGGUAAAAUCCGUAGAGAUCAAGAGGAAUACUCAUUGCGAAGGCGACCUGCUAGAACAUAACUGACGCUGAUGCGCGAAAGCGUGGGGAGCAAACAGGAUUAGAUACCCGGGUAGUC
RNAcentral lists this ribosomal RNA (440 nucleotides) under uncultured bacterium. RNAcentral's name for it is "partial 16S ribosomal RNA". It matches the Rfam family "Bacterial small subunit ribosomal RNA", at positions 338 to 795 of the family's 1533-position model. The record is from RNAcentral.